This 254-nucleotide ribosomal RNA is filed under the name uncultured bacterium. Its description in RNAcentral is "partial 16S ribosomal RNA". It matches the Rfam family "Bacterial small subunit ribosomal RNA", at positions 524 to 776 of the family's 1533-position model. The record is from RNAcentral.
CACGUAGGGGGCGAGCGUUGUCCGGAUUUAUUGGGCGUAAAGAGCUCGUAGGCGGCUCGGUAAGUCGGGUGUGAAAACUCGGGGCUCAACCCCGAGACGCCACUCGAUACUGCUGUGGCUUGAGUCCGGUAGGGGAGCAUGGAAUUCCUGGUGUAGCGGUGAAAUGCGCAGAUAUCAGGAGGAACACCAGUGGCGAAGGCGGUGCUCUGGGCCGGAACUGACGCUGAGGAGCGAAAGCGUGGGGAGCAAACAGG